This 495-nucleotide ribosomal RNA is filed under the name uncultured bacterium. Its description in RNAcentral is "partial 16S ribosomal RNA". It matches the Rfam family "Bacterial small subunit ribosomal RNA", at positions 28 to 507 of the family's 1533-position model. The record is from RNAcentral.
GACGAACGCUGGCGGCGUGCCUAAUACAUGCAAGUAGAACGCUGAAGGAGGAGCUUGCUCUUCUGGAGGAGUUGCGAACGGGUGAGUAACGCGUAGGUAACCUGCCUGGUAGCGGGGGAUAACUAUUGGAAACGAUAGCUAAUACCGCAUAAGAGUAGAUGUUGCAUGACAUUUACUUAAAAGGUGCAAUUGCCUCACUACCAGAUGGACCUGCGUUGUAUUAGCUAGUUGGUGGGGUAACGGCUUACCAAGGCGACGAUACAUAGCCGACUUGAGAGGGUGGACCGCCACACUGGGACUGAGACACGGCCCAGAAUUCUUCGGGAAGCAGCAGUAGGGAAUCUUCGGCAAUGGACGGAAGUCUGACCGAGCAAAGCCGCGUGAGUGAAGAAGGGUUUCGGAUCGUAAAGCUCUGUUGUAAGAGAAGAAAGAGUGUGAGGGUGGAAAGUUCACACUGUGACGGUACCUUAACAGAAAGGGACGGCUAACUACGUG